Beta vulgaris subsp. vulgaris (sugar beet) is the source of this 2740-nucleotide RNA transcript. It is a transcript of the gene named pentatricopeptide repeat-containing protein DOT4, chloroplastic, with no coding region annotated. Lineage: Eukaryota; Viridiplantae; Streptophyta; Magnoliopsida; Caryophyllales; Amaranthaceae. The transcript has 2 exons. The record is from RefSeq and is a predicted model, not a curated record.
AAGUAUCAAAAUUUACAUGGUUAGUCAGUCAACCCAUUCCAUGGCACUAAAUCUUCACCAGUUUUGGAUCUGUUCAAGUAAAAAAUAGGUCGAAGUGCAACAAUUUGCAGUUAAGAGUUGCCGCCUUUUUUCCCCUUCAAAUGAAUCUUCCUCAGUCUCCCUUCAUAUCCUCUAUCUUUCCACAAAUUCCCUGCUUUUAAAUCCCAAUCAUCUACAAAUUACUGCAAUGCGACAUCUCAUGUAUUUCAGUUUUAUUUCUAGGAAUGCACACAACCUGUUCGACCAAAUUACCAACAGAAGAAUUUUCAUCCAAACUCCACUAUGUAGCUUUUGCUGCAGUAAAGUAUACCACACGAAUUCUUUUUUAAAAGACCCAAUUGAAAAUUAUGGUGAAUACAAAGAAGUGGUGUAUUGGACCUCAAUAAUUUCUGGUUUAGUGAAACAAAACCGCCCUAAAGAUGCCAUUGCUAAGUUCAAACUGAUGCUUUUGAGUGAACAAAGACCCAAUCAUGUCACAUUAGUAACUGUUUUAAGGUCUAUUAGUGCAUUAAGAUUUAAAACCCCCGCGUUCGUUGUUCAUGGAUUAAUGAUUAAGAUGGGAUUUGGAUCAGAAAUUCGAGUUUUGACUGCUUUGAUUGGUGUUUAUGGUAAUAUGCAUUUACCCUUUGCAUGGAAGCUUUUCUCUGAUAUGCCCAUGAAGGAUUUGGUUAUGUGGAGUGCCAUGGUUUCAAUAUGUGUUAAAAGUGGUGAAUUUAUGGGGGCUAUUGAGGUGUUCAGGAACAUGAUAUGUGAAGGCAUAGUACCUAAUUUUGUGAGCAUUGUGAAUGUUUUGCCAGCUUGUGCUAAGCUUGAUUCUCUGGCCUUGGGAAAACAAGUGCAUGGGUUUGCUCUAAAAACGUCGUUUCAUUAUGUUAUUUACAUCCAAAAUUCACUCAUAGACAUGUAUGCAAAAUGUGGGGGUUUUAUGUAUGCUGCUAGAGUUUUUGCUCGAGUUGCAAGGAAGGAUGUAGUCACUUGGAAGACAAUGAUUCGUGGAUGUAUUGAGACCGGAAACCCAGGAAAAGCAUUAGUUAUCUUUGCUGGAAUGCACCAGUCUUGCUCUGAGAUUGAUUGUGGCAUUCUCUGUGAUGUGAUUGGGGCAACAUCAGAUUCAGAAGAGUUCGCAUUUGGACUCGGGUUGCAUUGCUAUAGUUUAAAAUCUGGAUUGGCAGAAUCUGUUUCUGUUGGAACAGCUCUUUUGCAAAUGUAUGCAAAAUUUGGUGAAGUGCACCCAUCUCAGCUUUUGUUUGAUCAGCUUCAUCCAAAGGAUCUUAUUGCUUGGACUGCAAUGAUAUCUGCAUAUGCUCAAAGUGGGUACACCAGCGAGGCUCUAGAUACAUUUAAGCAUAUGCAAUUAACAAGCGAGAAGCCUAAUGAGAUAACAUUUGUCAGUUUGUUACAAGCUUGUUCUUCAUCAGGCACUCAAGAGUUUGGUGAAAGCAUUCAUGGGUAUGUAACUAAAGCUGGUUACUUGCCUAACUCAUUCUUAAUUUCAGCUUUAAUUGAUUUAUAUUGUAAGUUUGGAAGAAUAAAGCAAGGAAGAGCUCUAUUCGAUGAACAUCAUAUCAAAGAUCUGAUUAUUUGGAGUUCAAUGAUUAAUGGGUAUGGAUUAAAUGGUUUUGCAAACGAGGCUUUAGAAAUUUUCUUGAACAUGUUGGCUUCUGGAGUAAAGCCCAAUGAUGUGGUUUUUGUAUCAGUCCUGUCAUCCUGCAGCCAUUGUGGGUUAGAAGAUGAAGGAUGGUACUGGUUCAAUUGCAUGCAAGACAAGUAUGGAAUUGUGCCAAAGAUUGCACAUUAUGCUUGCAUGGUUGACUUGCUUAGCCGUCAAGGAAAUGUCGAAGAAGCUGUUGAUUUUGUCUACAAUAUGCAAGUGGAACCUGAUAAGAGGAUUUGGGGAUCUCUUCUUGCUGGAUGUAAAUCAACUCAUGGAUCAAUUGAUGUAGCAGAGCUUGUUGUUCAACAACUUAUUAGGUUAGAUCCAAAAAAUACGAGCUAUUAUGUAGUUUUGUCAAACAUGUAUGCAGAAGAAGGUAGAUGGAAUGAUGUUGAGAAGGUAAGAAAAUUGAUAGAUGAGAAAGGAAUCGCAAAAAUGACAGGAUAUAGCACUUUCUGAAUGUCAUUCACAUGCUACUGGAUGUGUUUCAGAGGAGGUAAAUCCACUUACUCAUAUUGUGGAACUAGAAGCAUUAAUAUACUUUUCUUUCCAUUAUCAUAAAAACAGACAACCUGGAAGUCGUCAGAGCACUCCAGCAAGGAGACAUGAUAGACAAAAGCAUUACCUCUAUCAUCCUAGAAAUAAAACAAACAGCUAACAGUUUUCAGUUUUUUUCCUGUAUCAAAGUCAAAAGAGAGGAAGUUAUAUUAGCCCAUAAUCUAGCCAAGAAGGCAAGAAUAGGGAAAACCUCCUCCACGUAGCUUUAAUAUUGUUUUACCCAUUGUCAAAAAAAAAAUAUAUAUACUUUUCUUUCUGGGUCAUGAUUGAUGGAAGACAUUAAAUUUUCUUUCCUUUUCUUAGCAACUCUCUUGAACAACUAUUCUGCCUGUUGAUUAGUGCUGUUAGUUUUGUACUUUCAAGAAAGAAGAUGACAGACUCACAGUUUGUAAAGAUAUAAAUCCUGCUGAGCCUCCAGUACUUGACGAAAUUAAAGAUGUUUCCUUCUGAAGUUAUGAAGAUCAUAAAUUUUCUUAAGAUGUUUUCUAG